GUCACUGUGAACUUACUCCCCAUGCUUUUAUCUAACUAGCGGCCUUAAUACUAAGAGCUGAUACAGGAAUGAAAUUGAAGCAAUAAAGAUUUACCUAUCAGUGGAGGAUUCCAACAUGGAGGAUUACGGAAUGACAUAAUGCACUAGGGCAAUCUGAAGAAUUUUGGGAUUUAUCAAUUACAUAUCAACUCUUGAAAAAAUUCAAGUAAUGACAAAAUCCAAAACUGAUGCCACUAAAAUAUAUUCUGUUCAUGGAUCUUCCUUUUUUAAUUGUGCUUAUUUAUGGAAUACAGUAUGCAUGUAUUAGGUGUAUGAAAAUCAGAACAGGCUAUUAUUUGUGGUGGACAAAGUUGUAUUGAAUUUCACCACUAUGUGCAAAUAGGACAAUAUCACAGGAUGGUAUUUCCGAGUGAAAUCUGUUGACUCAUCGAUCUGGACUGAGAAGACAUGCUUUGCAGUUUAUUACAUGAAAACCCUUCAGCUCAGGUGACAUAUCAUCAAUACGUUAAUGUAUUCUAUUCUGUGAGUGGAACACUGUCAUAUCCUCAUUUUGCAUUUCAUGCCACCAUAUUCUACCUAAUUUUACAUGCUGUUACUUAGUGCUUAGGAGUUGUGUGACUUUUCCUUUUCUGGCCAGUAAGUCCUGUACCUUAAAAAAUUGCUUGUUGAGCCUUAUAGUAAAUAUUCAAUUGUUA
Molecule: non-coding RNA, 695 nt
Organism: Oryctolagus cuniculus (rabbit)
Lineage: Eukaryota; Metazoa; Chordata; Mammalia; Lagomorpha; Leporidae
Source: RefSeq, a predicted model, not a curated record